CCUACGGGGGGCAGCAGUAGGGAAUCUUCCGCAAUGGACGAAAGUCUGACGGAGCAACGCCGCGUGAGCGAUGAAGGCCUUCGGGUCGUAAAGCUCUGUUGUUAGGGAAGAACACGUACGAGAGUCACUGCUCGUACCUUGACGGUGCCUAACCAGAAAGCCACGGCUAACUACGUGCCAGCAGCCGCGGUAAUACGUAGGUGGCAAGCGUUGUCCGGAAUUAUUGGGCGUAAAGCGCGCGCAGGCGGUCUCUUAAGUCUGAUGUGAAAGCCCACGGCGAAACCGUGGAGGGUCAUUGGAAGCGGGGGGAUUGGGGGGCAGAAGAGGGGGGUGAAAGCCCGGGGUGAGGGGGGAAAGGCGAGGAGAGGGGGAGGAACGCGAGGGGGGAGGGCGACUCUCGGGUGUGAAACUGACGCGGAGGGGCGAAAGGGUGGGGAGCAAACGGGAUUAGAUACCCUGGUAGUC
RNAcentral lists this ribosomal RNA (465 nucleotides) under uncultured bacterium. RNAcentral's name for it is "partial 16S ribosomal RNA". It matches the Rfam family "Bacterial small subunit ribosomal RNA", at positions 338 to 795 of the family's 1533-position model. The record is from RNAcentral.